RNAcentral lists this ribosomal RNA (253 nucleotides) under uncultured bacterium. RNAcentral describes it as "partial 16S ribosomal RNA". It matches the Rfam family "Bacterial small subunit ribosomal RNA", at positions 524 to 776 of the family's 1533-position model. The record is from RNAcentral.
UACGUAGGGGGCAAGCGUUGUCCGGAUUUAUUGGGCGUAAAGAGCGUGUAGGCGGUUUGGUAGGUCCGUUGUGAAAACUCGAGGCUCAACCUCGAGACGCCGGCGGAAACCAUCAGGCUAGAGUCCGGAAGAGGAGAGUGGAAUUCCUGGUGUAGCGGUGAAAUGCGCAGAUAUCAGGAAGAACACCCGUGGCUAAGGCGGCUCUCUAGUACGGUACUGACGCUGAGACGCGAAGGCGUGGGGAGCGAACGGG